UUAUCUUAUUUUAGGUGGCAUUGAAGCCCUGAAAAAGACUUGUGGAUAUUUAACCAUAAUGUACAUUUAAAUAUCUGUGUUGUGUUGACGGCUACAUACCGUACAGACAGUACCCAAACAAAACAUUUGUACAUUAGCAUUACAUGAAGUACUUUAUUCCAAAGAAAACUUUUUUUUUUUUAAAUGUCUAGCCACGAAUGACUAUUAAAAUGAAGAAAAUAACAUGGGUAUACUGUAAAAACCAUACAAAUGUCAUUGCAUAUUAAAAUGCUGUUUAGUUUUUAUGUUUCCUAUGGCUCUUUCCAUUGCCUAAAUCUACAAAAGCAGGUGUUUUGAAUGGAAAGUUUAGAACACUUUUAUCAGGCAUCCUGUUGAACACCACUUCCUGUACCUUAUACCUGGUACAUACUGCAAUAUGAUGGCACAUCCCGCUGUGACACCAGUGGUGCAAGUGUCUUUUUUAAUCAAGAAAAUUCCUAGAGCUAACCAAUUCAUAUAGUUGAAACAUAGGGGAUCUGGACACAUUUGGACAGGAUGCUAAUCUUAGCCCACUUCGCAUUGCUGCUUAUUUGGGGAAGCCAAGGUAAAAUAAAUUCCUCAACUUUUUUACUUGAUGUGUUUUCAGUUUCUGGCAAAAAGAUGAUAAUCAAAUGUCCUCAAGCUAUAUAUUUAUAUCCACGGCCUACUAACUGAAGAAUUGUUGCCUUAAUUUAUGCCCUUUUCAUUAGAUUCAGAAACCUGUACCGACCUGCAGAAACAGCAUGAAGUCAUCCAUGCAGCAGUUGGAGAGCCUUUAGUGUUGAACUGCACCUACAACUGCUCCUCUGGAUUUGUCCAUGGACACUGGGUCAAACUCUCAGACUGUCCUCAUUGUCCUAGGCCAAGGGAAACAAAAAAUGUCACAAAGAAUGGUGACCUCUGCACACUACCAUUGUAUUUUCCACAUCUGUCCAGGGAAGAUUUUCAGUACAACUAUACCUGCUUUUCUGAAGAUCAUGAAAGCGAACAGUUCCCACGCAAGAUAGAGUGUCUGGUAUCACUGCAGGCACAAGCUCGACCUAGUGCCCCGGACACAACGGACACUACUGAUGAAUCGCUGACAGCGUUGGGUAACCAUGAGGACUCAAUAAUAGAUCACGGAAAACCUGCUGUUAUCUGUACAGGGUAUGUUUUUUUUCUUCAUACAUUGUGGUAUGUUUGCUAAGGCAUUUUAACACACUUUUCAUUGGCAAUUAGUAUGUGGAAUUUGUUUAUUGGUCUUUUAUCAGCACAACAUCAAGAGAAGGAUCAGGUAAAUAUUUGUUUAAUUUGACAAAAUUGCUAUCACAACCAGUUCACUCAAUGUUGUGAAUUGUAAUUCUAAUAGGUUACUUCAUAUCUUAUAGGUGCAUGCUCAACCAAUUGUGAGAGGGUGGCACUGCGAAUAACUCCGGCUGGUAAGCUAAUGGAAUGUACCAUUUAUUUCAGUUGCUAAGCUGGGUGUGUAAUAACAACAUCUACUGUACAAAACAUUGCAUUUCCUGUUUUGAGCUAGAUUGCCAGAGUGAUCAUGAGGUUCCUUACGCUGACAUCAUGAUUACUAUGCGAGGGGCCAGCACACCAGAGCUCACACAGAUCUCCUACCUAGCUCUGGGGGACCAUAGAGAGGUGAGGAUUGGAAACAAUCGCUUUGUGAUUUCUGUGUGAAAUAGAAAGUGGUCUACAAAUAAAAUAUCUAUU
This 1719-nucleotide long non-coding RNA is filed under the name Oncorhynchus kisutch (coho salmon). Its description in RNAcentral is "lncRNA (ENSOKIG00005027288.1)". The record is from RNAcentral. Lineage: Eukaryota; Metazoa; Chordata; Actinopteri; Salmoniformes; Salmonidae.